Molecule: ribosomal RNA, 879 nt
Filed under: metagenome
Description: bacterial SSU rRNA
Rfam family: Bacterial small subunit ribosomal RNA
Source: RNAcentral
CUAUGGUCUAUCAGCUUGUUGGUGGGGUAAAUGGCCUACCAAGGCGACGACGGAUAGCGGGUGUGAGAGCAUGACCCGUCUCACUGGGACUGAGACACUGCCCAGACUCCUACGGGAGGCUGCAGUCAAGAAUCUUCCUCAAUGACCGAAAGGUUGAAGGAGCGACGCCGCGUGCAGGAAGAAGCUUUUCGGAGUGUAAACUGCUUUUAUUAGGGACGAAAUUUUUUGACGGUACCUAAUGAAUAAGGGGCUGCUAACCUCGUGCCAGCAGCAGCGGUAAUACGAGGGCCCCAAGCGUUAUCCGGAUUUAUUGGGUGUAAAGGGUCCGCAGGCGGCUUAUUGCAUCUCCUGUUAAAUCUUCGGGCUCAACCCGGAGGCCGCGGGAGAGAUGAAUAAGCUAGAGAUCGGAAGAGGCAAAUGGAAUUGCUGGUGUAGGGGUUAAAUCCGUUAAUAUCAGCAGGAAUGCCAAAAGUGAAGGCAAUUUGCUAGGACGAAUCUGACGCUCAAGGACGAAAGCGUGGGGAGCGAAGAGGAUUAGAUACCCUCGUAGUCCACGCUGUAAACGCUGGAUGCUAAGCAUUGGAAGUAUCGACCCUUUCAGUGCUGUUAAUUCAAGGUAACCCGUUAAGCAUCCCGCCUGGGGAGUACGAGCGCAAGCUUAAAACUCAAAGGAAUAGACGGGGACCCGCACAAGCGGUGGAGCAUGUGGUUUAAUUCGAUGAUAAGCGAGGAACCUCACCAAGGUUUGACAUCUAGCUGCACGCCCUGGAAACAGGGAAGCCUUCGAGGGUGCUAGACAGAUGCUGCAUGGUUGCCGUCAGCUCGUGUCGUGAGAUGUACCGUUUAGUCGGAAAACGAGCGCAACCCUUUUCUAUGUUU